Molecule: small nucleolar RNA, 108 nt
Filed under: Nicotiana attenuata
Lineage: Eukaryota; Viridiplantae; Streptophyta; Magnoliopsida; Solanales; Solanaceae
Description: Small nucleolar RNA snoR97
Rfam family: Small nucleolar RNA snoR97
Source: Rfam by way of RNAcentral
UAUUUUUCUUAAGUCUUACUUUCAUUAAAUUUCAUAAAGUUAGUGUUAUUAUCAGUUUCUUCUCUUGAAUAUCCAACGAGAUUGGAGUUAAAUCGUAGCACUACAUGU